This 137-nucleotide ribosomal RNA is filed under the name uncultured eukaryote. RNAcentral describes it as "partial 18S ribosomal RNA". It matches the Rfam family "Eukaryotic small subunit ribosomal RNA", at positions 1299 to 1458 of the family's 1831-position model. The record is from RNAcentral.
UGGUGGGGUGACUUGUCUGCUUAAUUGCGAUAACGAACGAGACCUUGACCUGCUAAAUAGCCCGCAUUGCUCCGGCAGUGCGCUGGCUUCUUAGAGGGACUUUCGGCUCAAGCCGAAGGAAGUUUGAGGCAAUAACA